Molecule: ribosomal RNA, 513 nt
Filed under: uncultured bacterium
Lineage: Bacteria
Description: partial 16S ribosomal RNA
Rfam family: Bacterial small subunit ribosomal RNA
Source: RNAcentral
GACGAACGCUGGCGGCGUGCUUAACACAUGCAAGUCGAACGAAAAGAGGGAAAGAGCUUGCUCUUUCCGGAAUUGAGUGGCAAACGGGUGAGUAACACGUAAACAACCUGCCUUCAGGAUGGGGACAACAGACGGAAACGACUGCUAAUACCGAAUAAGUUCCAAGGGCCGCAUGGCACAUGGAAGCAAAGGUGGCCUCUACCUGUAAGCUAUCGCCUGAAGAGGGGUUUGCGUCUGAUUAGCUGGUUGGCGGGGUAACGGCCCACCAAGGCGACGAUCAGUAGCCGGUCUGAGAGGAUGAACGGCCACACUGGAAUUGAGACACGGUCCAGACUCCUACGGGAGGCAGCAGUGGGGAAUCUUCCGCAAUAGGCGAAAGCCUGACGGAGCAACGCCGCGUGAGUGAUGACGGCCUUCGGGUUGUAAAACUCUGUGAUCCGGGACGAAAAGGCAGAGUGCGAAGAACAAACUGCAUUGACGGUACCGGAAAAGCAAGCCACGGCUAACUACGUG